Molecule: ribosomal RNA, 675 nt
Filed under: Chaetothyriales sp.
Lineage: Eukaryota; Fungi; Ascomycota; Eurotiomycetes; Chaetothyriales
Description: SSU rRNA
Rfam family: Eukaryotic small subunit ribosomal RNA
Source: RNAcentral
AUUAAAUCAGUUAUAAUUUAUUUGAUAGUACCUUUACUUGGAUAACUGUGGUAAUUCUAGAGCUAAUACAUGCUAAAAACCUCGACUUCGGGAGGGGUGUAUUUAUUAGAUUAAAAACCAAUGCCCUUCGGGGCUCUUUGGUGAUUCAUAAUAACUAAACGAAUCGCAUGGCCUUGCGCCGGCGAUGGUUCAUUCAAAUUUCUGCCCUAUCAACUUUCGAUUGUAGAGUAGUGGUCUACAAUGGUUUCAACGGGUAAGGGGAAUUAGGGUUCUAUUCCGGAGAGGGAGCCUGAGAAACGGCUACCACAUCCAAGGAAGGCAGCAGGCGCGCAAAUUACCCAAUCCCGACACGGGGAGGUAGUGACAAUAAAUACUGAUACAGGGUUCUUUUGGAUCUUGUAAUUGGAAUGAGUACAAUGUAAAUACCUUAACGAGGAACAAUUGGAGGGCAAGUCUGGUGCCAGCAGCCGCGGUAAUUCCAGCUCCAAUAGCGUAUAUUAAAGUUGUUGCAGUUAAAAAGCUCGUAGUUGAACCUUGGAUCUGGCUGAUCUGUCCUCCUAAUCGAGCGCACGGAUUCGGCUGGAUCUUUCCUUCUGGGGAACCCUAUGCCCUUUACUGGGCGUAGUGGGGAACCAGGACUUUUACUUUGAAAAAAUUAGAGUGUUCAAAGCAGUG